Molecule: non-coding RNA, 44 nt
Organism: Schistosoma haematobium
Lineage: Eukaryota; Metazoa; Platyhelminthes; Trematoda; Strigeidida; Schistosomatidae
Source: Rfam
AUCUAGCUGACGAGUCCCAAUAGGACGAAACGCGCGUCGUGAAU